RNAcentral lists this ribosomal RNA (259 nucleotides) under Escherichia coli. RNAcentral's name for it is "partial 23S ribosomal RNA". It matches the Rfam family "Bacterial large subunit ribosomal RNA", at positions 1 to 260 of the family's 2925-position model. Lineage: Bacteria; Pseudomonadati; Pseudomonadota; Gammaproteobacteria; Enterobacterales; Enterobacteriaceae. The record is from RNAcentral.
GGUUAAGCGACUAAGCGUACACGGUGGAUGCCCUGGCAGUCAGAGGCGAUGAAGGACGUGCUAAUCUGCGAUAAGCGUCGGUAAGGUGAUAUGAACCGUUAUAACCGGCGAUUUCCGAAUGGGGAAACCCAGUGUGUUUCGUCACACUAUCAUUAACUGAAUCCAUAGGUUAAUGAGGCGAACCGGGGGAACUGAAACAUCUAAGUACCCCGAGGAAAAGAAAUCAACCGAGAUUCCCCCAGUAGCGGCGAGCGAACGG